Long non-coding RNA from Phlebotomus argentipes, 720 nucleotides. RefSeq lists it as uncharacterized. The transcript is spliced from 3 exons. NCBI's taxonomy places the organism in Eukaryota, Metazoa, Arthropoda, Insecta, Diptera, Psychodidae. The record is from RefSeq and is a predicted model, not a curated record.
CUCUGAGGCGCAGACUAGGCAAGUUGCUCCGCUCCCGACUCCUCUCGAGGCACUUUACGUAAAGUUCGCGUCCCGGAACGCGCUGGAUUUCCUGGCAGAGUGAAAGUGUGUGAAUUAGUGAGUGGAUAUAAUUUAACAGUGAGGAUAUUUAUAUUGAUGGUGGACGUUCAGAACACUUGAGCCCAUCGUCAGCGAGUGUUUUUUAAAAAAUAGCACCCAAUUAAUAUCAAUUGACGGUCACAAUUCACCGUAAGACAGUACAGCGUCUUGGGUGGAAAUUUCUAUUUCUGGGGCAUUGAAGCACAGUGAAAAAUCACCCUCUUCGCUGAAGAACUCAUCUCGAGCAAGAGGUGGACCGCAGUGUGUGUGUGAGUUGAAUUAAUUGCUGAGAAAAGGCAAGUGUGGGAUUCGUACACCUUUUCCCGGGUAAUUGGCAACACUUGAGGACAGCCAGAAGCUCUUUCGCAGAUUACGGACAUUAAAUUUAUUUGGCAUCCCCAGCAAUUGGAUUCGCAGCCCACACAGUGUUGUGCAAAUCUUGCAGGAUCAACAUGGGGAGUUGGAGGAAUCUGGUGUUCAUUUUGGCCAUUGGAGCGUGUCUGAUUGAAGGUAAACACAGGGACAGGGUGAGGGACAGGGAGGUGAAGUGGGACAUUGAAGCGAAAUGGGAGAGACCAACCCUCCCUCCGCCCGCCACGACGAUGACCAGUGUGAAUUUGU